GUCCACUCAGUCCUAAUUAAGAUCUUCUUCUACUGGUCUUUCUUACCUUGAAGUACAGCGGGAUCCCCAUUCUAUCUGUCCAAACACAUGUCCGAGCUUAAGUCAGAUCCCCGAGCAACAAAAGCGGACUCUGCUGCCGUCAAAGGCUCAGCCGAUCCUGCCUCCCAACCAUCAUCCGCUAGCGAAGCAAAAACCAAGACUGAUACACUUCCAGGCUUCGCGGGCCAAAAACAAGCCGUUGUCCGAAAAAUCAAUCAAUCAAGGAAAAAAAGAGAGGCACUCAAGGCAAAGAGAAAGUGUGUCCCCAAACAGUCCCUCUCCAAAAAAUUCGUCAAAAACGUGAUCGGAACCACCAAUCGACGAUAUAUCAUAGACGGUGGCAAGCCAGUAGAAAAUGAAAUCUUUAUGCUCAGCAACUUGGUAGCAUUUUUGCACAAGAAAAUCAAAAUCAAUGGAAAAACCGGUAAGGUCAAGAAACACAUCCAGACAACGACCGAAAACAACAAGAUCAUCAUGGUGACUAAAGUUCAGUUUUCUAAGCGCUACUUUAAGUACCUGAUCAAAAAAUUCCUUAAAAAAUUCUUUUUAAGAGAUUGGCUCAAACUUGUCGCAUCUAGCAGAAACGCAUACGAAAUCCGAUAUUUCAACAUUCGAGAUGUUGAGGAACUCGAAGAAUAACACGGUCCAAUAAAAAGCAGAGACAGUGAAGUGCUCCGCGUUUUUUUUUGACAAUUUUUUUUUUGAAUGGGGUCUUUUUCACCGAAGUACGUACAUAGAUGACACAUUGGAGAAUCUAGCAGUGUAAUCACCACUACCCAGCUCGCUCGGGCUCCAAAAGUAUUGACAUGAUCCCCUUUCCUGCCCAUCAAUUCAAAUGUAAUAACUUCCGUGUGCAUAAAAACACACGUACUCGAGGGCUUGUCGGACGACGCUCGGUCCACGCCGACCGCUCUAAGCGAAAUGGCUCGAGCAGCUCGGCCCAAACCUUCCUCAACACAAGACCAACCGUACAACCCGAAACAAUAAAAACAACGCAACAGUGGACAUUCCGAAAAAGUCAAGAUCAGCGCAGAUAUGGCUCAGGCAGAAACCUCAAUAAACAACCUUCAAAUUCUAAGACCUUGAAAAAGGUACAGAGCUUGAUGCAUCUAGCUAGAAAACUAUCCACCACAAACAGACUGUUGGCGGCUUCGCUCCUAGCAGCUCUUGGAGUGAUUAGCACAACGAACCAGAAUGUAGGAUAUUCCCGUAAGACCCUAGAAUGUCUGUAUUCAGAAUCGCUAGAUAACGCUGACAUACAAGAAAUUUACACCGCUCUAAUGCACAUCGCAGAUGUGUCUGUCAGAAACCGCUUUACGAAGAAGCACAUGAUUCAGACACCUAUUUACAUCAAACUGUGUCAGCUACUAUAUCAUUCAGAUCCCCUUGUUCGACUCCUCAGUCUGCGUGCCAUAACUGGACUAGCCGAACACAAUGCAUUUGUUCUGAAAUAUUUCACGCAAACACAAAACUUUGACAAGCUCGACCAACUGUUUCUUCCUGAAACAACGACCCAUAUACAAAGAAUGAUCGAAACCUCUCGAACGAAUGACUUGCAUGUUCGGACAAUCUACGAACGUUCGGUAGAUAAAGAUUUACAUGCACUGGCUGUGCCCUACCUUGACGAGCUGCUUGUUUUGGCAUUUGACCGUUUUGUGUCCGUUUUGGCACAAAACGAAAACACACAUUCUCAACUGCUUCAAUCACCCAAUUUGACACACUACGUUCAACUGAUAAACAGCCCUGACCCCGGAGUAUGUCGCACUGGCAUCAGUUUCGUAUCCGGACUGACAAAAUCCGUAGAGGGCAGAAAGUGGCUGGCGGAAAAAACAGAUGUGUUUCCACACCUUUGCGAUCUUACCUUUGGAUCUAGAUCCCACAUGUAUAGUGGUGAUUCACGUAUCAUAAGACAGGGUAAAUUCGCACUACAGCAAUUGCUCUUGUCGGAGUCUGCUAUGCGUUUUUUGCGGGCCAAGUACGAGACGUUCUUACUCAACCAGUUGCCAAUGUACGCGAAAAAGGAACUCCUCGUGGAAUUCGACAUAAAAGAACAAGAGUACGUGGAUUACGCUAAGGAAGUUGGAAGAGUUUUGAUGUCGGGAUACGGGACUGGUUUUGCCUGGGGAGCACUUAGGUCUGCCUUCAGAUUGACACCCUCGGUAGAACCGGGGUCACUGAGAGUUAUGCGGAGCUCGACAAAGCAUGUGAUAGCCAGAGGAUUGAAUACUGCGACCGGCACAGUGUUAAUAUUGAUGAUGUACCACGCAUUUAAAUUGGUCGAUGAAAAAAUUCUGUGUCACGAACGCGACACGUACAGAAAAUAUUACGCACAGCUGGCGCUAACUACAGGAACUGGAACAGGCUUAUUGUUCGUGUUGACAAGGAGUUUCAGAUACACCUUGACACCAGCAAUUCUUGUGGCUGGUGCACAGAGCGCCUGGCAAAUGACAAAGUCGAGAAACGCGACAUAGGUCAAGAGUGUCUGGCGCCGAAGAAGUGCGAGACAGGCACGAAAAUCCGUCGAAUUGGGGUUUUCUUCUAGCCUGACGGUUUGGCGCUACCGCCGCCAACGUGGCAUUGUCAACGACUCUGACAAUUGUCGGCAGAACCAUACUCGUGUAUGAUCAUUCUCCGUGAGAGUUGUACACGAUGUCGCCUGGAGAAAACGAGGUGUGUGCAAGCCUUUGACAAAAAGGGGUGCAUGGUCUCUCAGAGCCUCUUCCUCCUCCAGGCUCUGAAAAAAGACAAAUUGCUUUUAUUAAGCAGGGUCUGGUACAUAAUGACCUAUUAUAUGGACCUUCUGCUCCAGGGAGCUGCCGUCACACACGCCCCCUUCUUGAGCGCCUCGAGUUGGACUGUACUGAUUGGGGAUCGAAUUUGCUGUAUCAAGGGGUAAUCGUUAGCGCUGACGCAGUAGCGUGCUAGAUUUACUUAAGUGGACUCUGUUUCUCGUACAAGUCUUUAAUUUGGCUCGAGUCAAAAUCAGAUGAAAGUGAAUCGAGGUUGUUGUGGUGCAAUUGUCUGUAUAGUGCGGUACGCAUUGCUGUCAGUGAAAGCACGCCAGAAAAUAAACGCACAAUCUGUGACACGUACAGAAUUUCUAGAUACGGUAAUUUAGCAAUGCCAGAGGGCACGCCACCUGUGAAUUUGUUGUACGACAAGUCUCUGCAUUGAGUGAGUGGGUCAGUACUCUCUAGUGUUUGCGUGUGAUGCGAACCGCACGUAUCUUCGAGCGUACAAUCUGUAAAGAUGAGACGCGUCGGUCAGACUGUUGGGUAAGGACCCACUUAGGGAGUUGUUGUUCAAGACCCUGAAAGAGUGGGGAAUUGGUCGGUUAGUAGACUCGUACACUUGGCCCCGUGUCUGAAUUCAGAAAAGGUGAAGAAGGGCGUACAAAUUGGUGAUAGCUUUGUAGUUCAGAGUCUGUUCACCUAGGUUUCCUUCUAGGUUGUUGGAGGACAGGUUGCUUCCAGAGAGGCGUUUUGUCAGUCUCAUUUGGUCGAAGCUUCAAGUUCGUAAGGUGUGUGUACAUACAUGGUUUUAAGGUAGGGGACGUUUAUAGACUCUGGGAAUGUUCCAGAAAUAUUACAGUUGCUCAUAUCUCUACA
Molecule: RNA transcript, 3647 nt
Organism: Schistocerca gregaria
Lineage: Eukaryota; Metazoa; Arthropoda; Insecta; Orthoptera; Acrididae
Exons: 5
Source: RefSeq, a predicted model, not a curated record